RNAcentral lists this transfer RNA (77 nucleotides) under bacterium. Its description in RNAcentral is "tRNA-Met". It matches the Rfam family "tRNA". From Rfam's summary of the family: Transfer RNA (tRNA) molecules are approximately 80 nucleotides in length. Their secondary structure includes four short double-helical elements and three loops (D, anti-codon, and T loops). Further hydrogen bonds mediate the characteristic L-shaped molecular structure. tRNAs have two regions of fundamental functional importance: the anti-codon, which is responsible for specific mRNA codon recognition, and the 3' end, to which the tRNAs corresponding amino acid is attached (by aminoacyl-tRNA synthetases). tRNAs cope with the degeneracy of the genetic code in two manners: having more than one tRNA (with a specific anti-codon) for a particular amino acid; and 'wobble' base-pairing, i.e. permitting non-standard base-pairing at the 3rd anti-codon position. The record is from RNAcentral. RNAcentral also lists the same sequence under 1 other name.
CGCGGGGUAGAGCAGCUCGGUAGCUCGUCGGGCUCAUAACCCGAAGGUCGUUGGUUCAAAUCCGGCCCCCGCAACCA